RNAcentral lists this ribosomal RNA (253 nucleotides) under uncultured bacterium. RNAcentral's name for it is "partial 16S ribosomal RNA". It matches the Rfam family "Bacterial small subunit ribosomal RNA", at positions 524 to 776 of the family's 1533-position model. The record is from RNAcentral.
UACAGAGGUCUCAAGCGUUGUUCGGAUUCAUUGGGCGUAAAGGGUGCGUAGGCGGCGCGGUAAGUCGGGUGUGAAAUCUUGGAGCUUAACUCCGAAACUGCAUUCGAUACUGCCGUGCUUGAGGACUGGAGAGGAGACUGGAAUUUACGGUGUAGCGGUGAAAUGCGUAGAUAUCGUAAGGAAGACCAGUGGCGAAGGCGGGUCUCUGGACAGUUCCUGACGCUGAUGCGCGAAAGCGUGGGGAGCGAUCCGG